GCCAAAAACACACACGUAGGAGCCAUUAAUACUGGAUCUAUACUUUUUAGGGAAUAUCUGGCAUAGAAUCUCUUGAAGUAGACUGUAGCAGUGGCAAUAACUUGUUGUCUUAAUUUAAGAUGUUCACCUAAAGCCUGGAUAACAUUAGUAAAAAAUAUCUGUAGCUUCCAAUAUUCUUCUUCAGACAGAAAUUUCAAGUCUUUUUGGCGCUCCUUCAGUAGAUCUUGUUUAUCCAAAAUCCAUUGUAAAUAGUGCGAGCUCUGCCAGAAGUUCCCGGCCAUGAGGAGCCGUGGGAGGCGCCCGGGCCCUCCGCUGCCCCGGCCGCGCCGCGCCGCCGCCCCCGCGCCGGCACCAG
RNAcentral lists this long non-coding RNA (355 nucleotides) under Gallus gallus (chicken). Lineage: Eukaryota; Metazoa; Chordata; Aves; Galliformes; Phasianidae. The record is from RNAcentral.